Molecule: long non-coding RNA, 636 nt
Filed under: Anas platyrhynchos platyrhynchos (common mallard)
Lineage: Eukaryota; Metazoa; Chordata; Aves; Anseriformes; Anatidae
Description: lncRNA (ENSAPLG00000017122.1)
Source: RNAcentral
AUGAGGAGUUUGAAAUCCCAGCUGGAAGCUUACCGUGAACUGAUGAACAAGAACAGUACACAUUGGCAAAAUACUGUUAAGAGCCUGAGGGAAAGAAACAGACAACUGAGCCAAGACAAAGAAGAUCUUAUUCACCAAAUGAAGCAACAAACAGAAAAAUGGGAAGAACAAAAGGUCUCCAUUCUAGAAAAUCUGUCAAAAAAAAUAAACCGUCUUUAUACCCAGCACACAUUGACUUUGCAGGGACUUCACACCAUCAGUCUAUAUGUGGAGAGAGUGCGUGACCUCAUGAAUUUCCAGAUAAAAAUUCUUCAACAAAAGUCUGAAAAGACAGAAGAAGAAAAAGCCGAUGUGCCAGUGAUUUUAAAAUUAAAGGCAGAACAAGCAGCUGAUGAAGAGAAGCCUGAAUGUUUAAUGGAAACAGAACCUCUUUGGCAAGCACACACCAUGUUGCAAAAGAUACAGGAAUCUAUACAGAAACAAGAGAGAGAAGUCAGUGAGACCCUAGAAGGUGAAAGAAGAUACUACAAAGCAAUGAAACCUCAAAUCAAGAUGCUAAUAUUCUUGAAAAAUCUUGCCAAGAAGGACAGAGCUCUCAAUGAAGCUUUUCAGAAAUCUUGGGAAAGCAAAAUCUGA